RNAcentral lists this long non-coding RNA (292 nucleotides) under Carica papaya (papaya). RNAcentral's name for it is "long non-coding RNA (CPAP_LNC015656)". The record is from RNAcentral. Lineage: Eukaryota; Viridiplantae; Streptophyta; Magnoliopsida; Brassicales; Caricaceae.
CAUCAAGAUUAAAUCUGGACCGUUCAUCGCGAUGCAAUCUGGGCCGUCCGUGCCUGAUUGAAUCUGGGCCGUCCGUGUGCAUGACUCUGGGCCGUCCGUGCGCACGUUUGAUCUGGGCCGUCCGUGUGCGCGGGAAUGGAUCUGGGACUUCCGAUCGCACGCACGCGGAUCGCCCACGUGGCCCGUUCCCUGGUCAGUGUUGCCUUGCCAUGCAGCGCGUCCUGGUUAGCCGGGACUGCUGACCGGGCCGCUGACGUGGUGGCUGACGUGGUGGUGAUGUGGCACAACUUUU